RNAcentral lists this ribosomal RNA (390 nucleotides) under uncultured bacterium. Its description in RNAcentral is "bacterial SSU rRNA". It matches the Rfam family "Bacterial small subunit ribosomal RNA", at positions 335 to 717 of the family's 1533-position model. The record is from RNAcentral.
ACUCCUACGGGAGGCAGCAGUGGGGAAUAUUGCACAAUGGGGGAAACCCUGAUGCAGCCAUGCCGCGUGUGUGAAGAAGGCCUUCGGGUUGUAAAGCACUUUCAGUAGGGAGGAAGGUAGUGUAGUUAACACCUGCAUUAUUUGACGUUACCUACAGAAGAAGCACCGGCUAACUCCGUGCCAGCAGCCGCGGUAAUACGGAGGGUGCGAGCGUUAAUCGGAAUUACUGGGCGUAAAGCGCAUGCAGGCGGCCUGUUAAGUCAGAUGUGAAAGCCCGGGGCUUAACCUCGGAAUUGCAUUUGAAACUGGCAGGCUAGAGUCUUGUAGAGGGGGGUAGAAUUUCAGGUGUAGCGGUGAAAUGCGUAGAGAUCUGAAGGAAUACCAGUGGCG